UUGGAAUUUCAAAUAAAAAGAUAGAGAAGAAACUAGUCAAAGAACCAUGCACAUUGUUGCCAUCAUCACUUGAUGUUAGUGCAGGUGGUAAAACUAAGGAUGUUCAAGGAGACCUGCCAAAUUUCCCACUUAGUUUUACCUUGUAUAUCACAUAUUUUCUGAGGCUGUCUUUGUUGUUCUUUGUUUGUAGUUUUAUGUCUUAUAUGUACUAUCUUAGUCUGAGGCUGUCUAGACUGUAAUACAGUACAGGCAAUUUCUUAUCAUCUUUUUUUAAUACAAUCUUGUUUGGUUGGGAUUGAAAUGAUAGUGUUUAUGUGAGAAUAGAAAUAGAAUGGGAAAUAAAUAUCAAUUCUUUUGUUUGGUUGAAA
Molecule: long non-coding RNA, 368 nt
Organism: Humulus lupulus (European hop)
Lineage: Eukaryota; Viridiplantae; Streptophyta; Magnoliopsida; Rosales; Cannabaceae
Exons: 2
Source: RefSeq, a predicted model, not a curated record